UGGGUGGCAAGUGUUUGUUGACCUGG
This 26-nucleotide non-coding RNA is filed under the name Rattus norvegicus (Norway rat). The record is from RNAcentral. Lineage: Eukaryota; Metazoa; Chordata; Mammalia; Rodentia; Muridae.